CAAAGAACUUUGAAGAGAGAGUUCAAUAGAACGUGAAAUCACUGGCAUGGAAGCGGAAGGAGCUGAUGUAGCCUUGAGACCAAGUUGUUUUUAGAGUGCUUGAUUGUGCUCGAGAACGAUGGGUGUUUCUUUUGCUACGCCGACAGCGUUGAUGACGUGCUUCGACCCGAUUAGUGUUGCCCAACUGCUUGCAGUUGGUGUCUUGCUACCGGUUAGAUUCAUCGUUGCCAACGUCUAACCCUGCGUGCAGGGUGUCGGUGUCAAAGUCGGCCACCCUUCCGUCCCGUCUUGAAACACGGACCGAGGAGUGUAUCUAGUGCGCGAGUCAAGGGGUGUUAAACCCUACGGCGAAAUGAAAAUGAUAUCAUGGGAUUCCUCUUUGAGGACGCACCAUGGCCCUAUCCCAGUUGCUUGCAACGGGGUGGAGGAAGAGCGUACUGGAUGCGACCCGAAAGAUGGUGAACUAUACCUGAGCAGGACGAAGUCAGAGGAAACUCUGAUGGAAGUCCGUAUCGGUUCUGACGUGCAAAUCGAUCGAUAGACUUGGGUAUAGGGGCGAAAGACUAAUCGAACCAUCU
RNAcentral lists this ribosomal RNA (578 nucleotides) under Buetschlinema nidrosiensis. RNAcentral's name for it is "partial 28S ribosomal RNA". It matches the Rfam family "Eukaryotic large subunit ribosomal RNA", at positions 367 to 945 of the family's 3401-position model. Lineage: Eukaryota; Metazoa; Nematoda; Chromadorea; Rhabditida; Rhabditidae. The record is from RNAcentral.